AUUUUAUAUUGUGAUAGUUAUCAUUUUAUAUUGUGAUAAUUAUCAUUUUAUAUUGUGAUAAUUAUCAUUUUAUAUUGUGAUAGUUAUCAUUUUAUAUUGUGAUAGUUAUCACCACACAACAAAGAGAAGAACUCAGCGUUAAUGUUUAUUAUGGGGAACUUCAUAUGACGGAACGAUCUUAACGGAGGUAAUAUGAUAAUUAUUGGUUUUACACUGCUCUUAUAAGUAAUGUACUUUACUUUAUUGUUUUCUCUAUUAGGAAACAAUGAGUUGAUAGUCACAGUUCUCGUCAUCGACACCUUGAUUAUCCAGUUUCGUUUUACAAGUAUACAUUUAACAGAGAGCUUUAACAUUGCAAUGCUUCAAUACCAAAAUGGCUGUUUUUUUAGUUAGACAACAACUGUAUUUAAUCCAGCGUUUACCUGAGGGCUGCAGCAGUCUCCCUGUCUUUGGUGGACUCCUUUCAUCGUUGUGGAUUGAGAGAUGAUUUUUAGAUAUUGUCUUAGUUCUAUUUCCAUGAUCAAUCCCCUUAAAUAUCACUUCUUAUCAAUGUCAUCUGAUUAACCUGCUCAAAUACAUACAUCAUACACAAAUACAUACAUACAUACAUACACACAGACAGACAGACAGACAGACAGACAGACAGACAGACAGACAGACACACAUACACACACAGACAGACAGACAGGCAGGCAGGCAGGCAGGCAGGCAGGCAGGCAGACAGGCAGACAGACAGACAGACAGACAGACAGACAGACAGACAGACAGACUGUAUGUUUGUAAUUGUAUGUUCCUUCUUAUUCACAGCAUUGCUGUAAAACCAUGGAUUCCAUUGAUACUAUUUUUGCUAAGGAAAUGCUCUCUUUUUUUCACACUAACCUGGUCUGCCUUAACAAAACAAACCUUAAGAUACAUACAAACAAAAACAUAAUAACAAAAAACACAAUUUACCUCAUGUUUUACCUGCACCUUUAGUGGCAGUGUGAGAUAGGAACCUCAUGUUUUACCUGCACCUUUAGUGGCAGUGUGAGAUAGGAACCUCAUGUUUUACCUGCACCUUUAGUGGCAGUGUGAGAUAGGAACCUCAUGUUUUACCUGCACCUUUAGUGGCAGUGUGAGAUAGGAACCUCAUGUUUUACCUGCACCUUUAGUGGCAGUGUGAGAUAGGAACCUCAUGUUUUACCUGCACCUUUAGUGGCAGUGUGAGAUAGGAACCUCAUGUUUUACCUGCACCUUUAGUGGCAGUGUGAGAUAGGAACCUCAUGUUUUACCUGCACCUUUAGUGGCAGUGUGAGAUAGGAACCUCAUGUUUUACCUGCACCUUUAGUGGCAGUGUGAGAUAGGAACCUCAUGUUUUACCUGCACCUUUAGUGGCAGUGUGAGAUAGGAACCUCAUGUUUUACCUGCACCUUUAGUGGCAGUGUGAGAUAGGAUGACUCAGGAAUUCUAGAACCAGAACCUUGAUAAUCCUUACUUCAGGUAUUCUAGAAGCCUGAUAAUCCUUCAGGUAUUCUAGAAGCCUGAUAAUCCUUCAGGUAUUCUAGAAACCUGAUAAUCAUUACUUCAGGUAUUCUAGAAGCCUGAAAGUCCUUCAGGUAUUCUAGAAGCCGGAUAAUCCUCCAGGUAUUCUAGAAGCCUGAUAAUCCUUACCUCAGGUGUUCUAGAACCCUGAUAAUCCUUCAGGUAUUCUAGAACCCUGAUAAUCCUUACUUCAGGUAUUCUAAGAAUUCCGAAGACAUGUCGGCACUUUGUGGUCUGAUGCUGAUGCAAUAUCUCCUCACCAUUUCAAACUACCUCCGAUUUCCACCGCAACAACCUGAAAACUCCAACCUCAAGGAAUGCACACUGCCCUGCUACACAGUACUGCACAGUACCACACAGUACUAAAUAGUAGUACACAGUACCACACAGUACUAAAUAGUACUACGCAGUACUACAUAGUAUUACUACACACAACAAUGCAUGGGGUGGCAGUGUGUGUGUGUGUGUGUGUGUGUGUGUCAACGAGCUAACUUGUUAUAAAAGUUGUUGUCUUGUGUCUCACAGUGGAACAGACAUGUUCCGUGUAAUGUUCUGUGUAAAUCUGACAGGUAAUUUACUGAAAUCAGGAGUUUUAAAAAAAAAAUAUAUAUAUAUAAUUCCUUUGUAGAACUCAUAAGCAGCUAAUGGAAGAAGCACUGUGGUGUCUUUAUUUGACAUGAACAUUAGUGUUUGUGUAUCUAAGUCAGUCCUAACGAGACACCCACUUCUACCUUUCCUCAACUGGGCCUUCUGUUUGACAAACUGUUCACUUGAAUAUAUAUUUGUUUUUCUGAUUUACUCAACGUUUUUUUUUUUUUAUAUUAAGAAUCAAGUGCUUGUGUGACACGACACGAUAUUAUUGUUUGUUUGUUUGUUUUUGCUCAGAUUUUUUUUUCUGAACUAUUUCAUCUACAUUACGUACCUCAAACAAACUGAUUAAAAAAAAAUGGACUUAUAAUCGAUUGACAAAUACCUACCUCCAGUCUUGAAAAGGAAUUUUUUUUUUUUUUGCCGGGUUUCUUUCUAUAUCAGUGCGAGUUUUGAUAAUGUAUGAUGAAAUCUAUCGAUAUUAAGGACUGCGAAAGAUCCCUUACUCAAAAGGUAUAUUUUUUUUUUUGUAACUUGUUUUCAAAACUUCUGAACCAAGUCAAUGUUGACUUCACCCUGCGGAAGAAAUAACCUUUAAAAAAAAAAAUUGUAUCUUGAAGAUUUUCAGGUUUUGAAAAAUAUAUGUUUGGGGUUUUUGUAUAUUGUAUUCAUGGAUUUUGUUGUUUUUGUUAAUUAGUAGAUAUUGAUAUACUUGAUUAGUUAUUUUGUGUACUUUUACGACACGUGAUUUUCUCUUUCUUGUUGUUAUGGUUCAACCAGAUGUAUACGAAAAUGCUUCUUUAAGUAGUGAUGGGUUACAACGUUUAAAUGUUAACAUGGUAUAUUCUCACACGGGCCUGAGGUAGGGAGCCUCAGAGAGUUAGUCAAACAACCCAACAUGCCCUUUCCACUCACACAGGCCUGGGGUAGGGAGCCUCAGAGAGUUAGUCAAACAACCCAACAUGCCCUUUCCACUCACACAGGCCUGGGGUAGGGAGCCUCAGAGAGUUAGUCAAACAACCCAACAUGCGUGUCUCAGUCGGAGACUUCCGAGUUUCUCAGUCGGAGACUUCCGAGUUUCUCAGUCGGAGACUUCCGAGUGUCUCAGUCGGAGACUUCCGAGUGUCUCAGUCGGAGACUUCCGAGUGUCUCAGUCGGAGACUUCCGAGUAUUCUCAGUCGGAGACUUCCGAGUGUCUCAGUCGGAGACUUCCGAGUCUCUGUCGGAUAGUUGCGAGUUACUCAGUAGGAUACUUCCAAGUUUCUCAGUCGGAUACUUCAGAGUUUCUCAGUUUGAGACUUCCGAGUUUCUCAGUCGAAUACUUCUGAGUUUCUCAGUCGGAUACUUCAGAGUUUCUCAGUCGGAGACUUCCGAGUUUCUCAAUCAAAUACUUCCGAGUUUCUCUGUCGGAUACUUCCGAGUUUCUCAGUUUGAGACUUCCGAGUUUCUCAGUCGGAUACUUCCGAGUUUCUCAGUCGGAUACUUCCGAGUUUCUCAGUCGGAGACUUCCGAGUUUCUCAGUCGGAGACUUCCGAGUUUCUCAGUCGGAGACUUCCGAGUGUCUCAGUCGGAGACUUCCGAGUUUCUCAGUCGGAGACUUCCGAGUUUCUCAGUCGGAGACUUCCGAGUGUCUCAGUCGGAGACUUCCGAGUGUCUCAGUCGGAGACUUCCGAGUGUCUCAGUCGGAGACUUCCGAGUUUUUCAGUCGAAUACUUCCGAGUUUCUCAGUCAAAUACUUCCGAGUUUCUCAGUCGGAGACUUCCGAGUCUCUGUCGGAUAGUUGCGAGUUACUCAGUAGGAUACUUCCAAGUUUCUCAGUCGGAUACUUCAGAGUUUCUCAGUUUGAGACUUCCGAGUUUCUCAGUCGAAUACUUCUGAGUUUCUCAGUCGGAUACUUCAGAGUUUCUCAGUCGGAGACUUCCGAGUUUCUCAGUCAAAUACUUCCGAGUUUCUCUGUCGGAUACUUCCGAGUUUCUCAGUUUGAGACUUCCGAGUUUCUCAGUCGGAUACUUCCGAGUUUCUCAGUCGGAUACUUCCGAGUUUCUCAGUCGGAGACUUCCGAGUUUCUCAGUCAAAUACUUCCGAGUUUCUCAGUCGGAGACUUCCGAGUCUCUCAGUCGGAUACUUGCGAGUUACUCAGUAGGAUACUUCCGAGUUUCUCAGUUGGAUACUUGCGAGUUUCUCAGUCGGAUACUUCCGAGUUUCUCAGUUUGAGACCUCCGAGUUUCUCAGUCGGAUACUUCCGAGUUUCUCAGUCGGAGACUUCCGAGUUUCUCAGUCGAAUACUUCCGAGUGUCUCAGUCGGAUACUUCCGAGUUUCUCAGUCGCAUACUUCCGAGUUUCUCAGGUGGAUCCUUCCGAGUGUCUCAGUCGAAUACUUCCGAGUUUCUCAGUCGAAUACUUCCGAGUUUCUCAGUCAGAUGCAUACUUCAGAAUUUCCUAUUUUCCUGAGGAAGGCAGCAUUAGUUUCUUCACACACUAUUACUGUCCAGAAUGUUCCCUGAACUGUAUCAUUGGGUGGGUUCAUCUGUCAUAACAACUCUUGAUAACUCUCAGGUACAUAACAAUCAAAACAGAGAGCGUAGGUUGAUCAAGAACCAGCCUAUUGUUGACGAGGUGAAGUCAUAGUGGGCCUAUGCUUUAUGUCGACGCCGUUUGACAGCUGCCUUGGUUUUGAAACGGCUUCGUAGGGCCUACCUGUGUGAGUUGGUCGAUCACAUGUUGUGGCUUUGAAAAGCACGGCCUAGAAACAGAUAGACUUCACGGCUGAGAAGAACAAUGGCUUUGUCUAAAUACGCCACAAGCAGGUUAAAAAUCCUUUGCUUACUGCUUCCUCGUUGCCGUAAUUCCUCUCAAAGCUCAUUGGAGGUGUGGCUCUACGGGUUCCUCCUCUCGGGAACUUCUCCUCCAAUGAGCUUUGAGACAAAUUGAGGAAACAAGGACAGGUUAGGGGGUGAAGCAAGUCAUUGACGGCUAGUACUGUUUUGAGACGCAGCCAUCGCCAGACUGUCGAUCAUCAGCAUGAAAAGCUAUAAGAGAUUUUAUUUUUAAACAUUUUAAAAAAAAAAGGGCUAAACACUGUGGUGCUCAUAGCUGACACUGAUUAUAUCAUAGGAGGUAAUGACGUUCCAAUGUUGGAGCUCCAUGAACAUUGGACUAUUUUUCAUAAAUAUAUAUAAUAAUAUAUAUAUAUAAAUAUAAUUAUUAUAUAUAUAUAUAAUUAUAUAUAUAAUUAUAUAUAUACUCGAGUUCUAAAGUGUAAGAGUAUUAAAAAACAACAACAAUUGAAACAAUGUUUUUUUUUUUUUUUUUGGGAUGUUUUACCUCAUGUUGGUGUGAAUGUGUAACUAUGGAAACCACUGUUUUGUUGACGCGCUUUGAGCUCUCGAGUCUUAAUGAAGAUGAUCCCCGUUCUAGAACAGUCCCAAUACACAUUACUACCUCCAACAAACAAACAAAAAAGGGCCUACUGUUACCUCAUUUUUCAAACUAAGCCUGCGCCCAAAUGGCACCCUAAUCCCUAUGUUAGUGCACUCCUUUUGACCAGGGAGUGCACUACUUUUGACCGGAGCCUUUACGGGACCAGUCCGCUAUAUAGAGACUAGGGUGCAAUUUGUGACGCAAGCUUAAAUAUCUGCUUCGUAAAACUCAUGGUGACGAAAGAGAACAGGGAGAACAUCGUAAAAUUUUCAUAUAUAUAUAGUUUAUUUUUUUUUGUCGGGGGAUAAAUUUUAUAAGACUGUUUCUUCUCUGCCUCUCAGUCACCUCUAGGUAAGACUGGACAUGUAAUUUGUAAUUUUUUUUAAAGAACAUUUUCUGACAUUAUGCAAUGUUCCGUAGUUAUAUUAAUCUGUGGAGGGGAGAGGCGGCGGUGGGGGGGUUGGGGGGGGGGGAAUAAACAUAAUUUCUGUCUUUGACACCGUCUCCCUCAGUAGAACGUCAUGUCUUCUAUCCCAACUUGCAUCGCCUCCUCUCUAUCCACCUAGUAUUGCUGUCUUCAAUUACACAUCCACAUUACUUGUUUGAAUAUACAAGACAAAACCCAAGUUAUCUUAAUAGAUAUUUACAGCCUUGUUUCAGCACAAUAAUAAAAUAAAAAAAACUAAAAUAUG
Non-coding RNA from Oncorhynchus mykiss (rainbow trout), 6221 nucleotides. Lineage: Eukaryota; Metazoa; Chordata; Actinopteri; Salmoniformes; Salmonidae. The record is from RefSeq and is a predicted model, not a curated record.